This 497-nucleotide ribosomal RNA is filed under the name uncultured bacterium. RNAcentral's name for it is "partial 16S ribosomal RNA". It matches the Rfam family "Bacterial small subunit ribosomal RNA", at positions 28 to 507 of the family's 1533-position model. The record is from RNAcentral.
GAUGAACGCUGGCGGCGUGCCUAAUACAUGCAAGUCGAGCGAACAGACGAGGAGCUUGCUCCUCUGACGUUAGCGGCGGACGGGUGAGUAACACGUGGAUAACCUACCUAUAAGACUGGGAUAACUUCGGGAAACCGGAGCUAAUACCGGAUAAUAUAUUGAACCGCAUGGUUCAAUAGUGAAAGACGGUUUUGCUGUCACUUAUAGAUGGAUCCGCGCCGCAUUAGCUAGUUGGUAAGGUAACGGCUUACCAAGGCAACGAUGCGUAGCCGACCUGAGAGAGUGAUCGGCCACACUGGAACGGAGACACGGUCCAGACUCCUACGGGAGGCAGCAGUAGGGAAUCUGCCGCAAUGGGCGAAAGCCUGACGGAGCAACGCCGCGUGAGUGAUGAAGGUCUUCGGAGCGUAAAACUCUGUUAUUAGGGAAGAACAAAUGUGGAAGUAACUAUGCACGUCGUGACGGUACCUAAUCAGAAAGCCACGGCUAGCUACGUG